GGGCCCUGGCCGAUGGCCAUGCAAUAAUCCAGAUCUAGUUCGGUGGAAUGACUUCGAGGUAGACGGUGCCACCAAUUCUAACUGAAAGCGCCGCAUGAGAGCAUAUCUAUGCUUCCUAUGGCUUAGAAGGCGGAUUUAAGAAACAAAUUAAGUUCGCUUGCUCCAAUCUUCCUACUUUUUUUUUUUUUUUUUUCCGGAUAAGGAUUGCUUGCUC
Molecule: long non-coding RNA, 214 nt
Filed under: Elaeis guineensis (African oil palm)
Lineage: Eukaryota; Viridiplantae; Streptophyta; Magnoliopsida; Arecales; Arecaceae
Description: long non-coding RNA (EGUI_LNC013851)
Source: RNAcentral